Molecule: transfer RNA, 73 nt
Filed under: Camelus bactrianus (Bactrian camel)
Lineage: Eukaryota; Metazoa; Chordata; Mammalia; Artiodactyla; Camelidae
Also listed under: 1 other name
Rfam family: tRNA
About the family: Transfer RNA (tRNA) molecules are approximately 80 nucleotides in length. Their secondary structure includes four short double-helical elements and three loops (D, anti-codon, and T loops).
Source: Rfam by way of RNAcentral
GAGGGUACAGCUCAAGUGGUAGAGCGUGUGCUUAGCAUGCAUGAGGUCCUAGGUUCAAUCCCCAGUAUCUCCA